UAAUUAAUUAUUAGUAAAACCUGCUCAACGAAAAUUUAAAUAGCCGCAGUUAACCUGUGCUAAGGUAGCAUAAUCACUUGCUUUUCAAAUGAAAGAUAGUAUGAAUGGUUAAACGAUAAUAGACUUUUCAUUUCAAUAAAAUUAAUUUAAUAUUAAAGUAAAAAAUCCUUAAUUAACAAACAAGACGACAAGACCCUAAUGAACUUAUAAAUUUAGUUGGGGCAACAAAAAAACAACAUCUUAUAUUAAUAAUUAAAUAAAACUCGUUAAACAAAUAUAAUAUAGUUACCGUAGGGAUAACAGCGCAAUUUUUUUAAAGAGUUCCCAUCCAAAAAAAAACUUACGACCUCGAUGUUGAAUUAAUUAAACUGUGACAGGAGCAAAAACCUCAUAAGUCAGUCUGUUCGACUAUAAAAAAAUU
This 421-nucleotide ribosomal RNA is filed under the name Belisana sp. Bor85. RNAcentral's name for it is "partial 16S ribosomal RNA". Lineage: Eukaryota; Metazoa; Arthropoda; Arachnida; Araneae; Pholcidae. The record is from RNAcentral.